UACGUAGGCAGCAAGCGUUGUUCGGAAUUACUGGGCGUAAAGAGUGUGUAGGCGGUGCUCUAAGUUUGUCGUGAAAUCUCCCGGCUUAACUGGGAGGGUGCGGCGAAAACUGGAGUGCUAGAGGGUGGGAGAGGAAAGCGGAAUUCCUGGUGUAGCGGUGAAAUGCGUAGAUAUCAGGAGGAACACCGGUGGCGAAGGCGGGUCUCUGGGAAGGUACCGACGCUGAUGCGCGACAGCAUGGGGAGCAAACAGG
Molecule: ribosomal RNA, 253 nt
Filed under: uncultured bacterium
Lineage: Bacteria
Description: partial 16S ribosomal RNA
Rfam family: Bacterial small subunit ribosomal RNA
Source: RNAcentral